RNAcentral lists this ribosomal RNA (323 nucleotides) under uncultured bacterium. RNAcentral describes it as "bacterial SSU rRNA". It matches the Rfam family "Bacterial small subunit ribosomal RNA", at positions 29 to 334 of the family's 1533-position model. The record is from RNAcentral.
AACGAACGUUGGCGGCGUGGAUGAGGCAUGCAAGUCGAGCGAGAAAGCACCUUCGGGUGUGAGUACAGCGGCGAACGGGUGAGUAACACGUAAUCAAGCUGCCCUGGAGACUGGGAUAACAGUGGGAAACUACUGCUAAUACCCGGAUGGUGCUAUUGGAUCGCAUGUUCCGAUAGCUAAAGGUUGGGAUCCUGCGGGACCUUCCACUCCAGGAGGUGAUUGCGGCCUAUCAGCUAGUUGGUGUGGUAACGGCGCACCAAGGCGACGACGGGUAGCGGGCCUGAGAGGGUGGCCCGUCACACUGGGACUGAGACACUGCCCAG